RNAcentral lists this ribosomal RNA (1386 nucleotides) under uncultured bacterium. RNAcentral's name for it is "bacterial SSU rRNA". It matches the Rfam family "Bacterial small subunit ribosomal RNA". The record is from RNAcentral.
UUAGAGUUUGAUCCUGGCUCAAGAUGAACGCUAGCUACAGGCUUAACACAUGCAAGUCGAGGGGCAGCAUGGUCUUAGCUUGCUAAGACUGAUGGCGACCGGCGCACGGGUGAGUAACACGUAUCCAACCUGCCGUCUACUCUUGGACAGCCUUCUGAAAGGAAGAUUAAUACAAGAUGGCAUCAUGAGUCCGCAUGUUCACAUGAUUAAAGGUAUUCCGGUAGACGAUGGGGAUGCGUUCCAUUAGAUAGUAGGCGGGGUAACGGCCCACCUAGUCUUCGAUGGAUAGGGGUUCUGAGAGGAAGGUCCCCCACAUUGGAACUGAGACACGGUCCAAACUCCUACGGGAGGCAGCAGUGAGGAAUAUUGGUCAAUGGGCGAGAGCCUGAACCAGCCAAGUAGCGUGAAGGAUGACUGCCCUAUGGGUUGUAAACUUCUUUUAUAAAGGAAUAAAGUCGGGUAUGGAUACCCGUUUGCAUGUACUUUAUGAAUAAGGAUCGGCUAACUCCGUGCCAGCAGCCGCGGUAAUACGGAGGAUCCGAGCGUUAUCCGGAUUUAUUGGGUUUAAAGGGAGCGUAGAUGGAUGUUUAAGUCAGUUGUGAAAGUUUGCGGCUCAACCGUAAAAUUGCAGUUGAUACUGGAUAUCUUGAGUGCAGUUGAGGCAGGCGGAAUUCGUGGUGUAGCGGUGAAAUGCUUAGAUAUCACGAAGAACUCCGAUUGCGAAGGCAGCCUGCUAAGCUGCAACUGACAUUGAGGCUCGAAAGUGUGGGUAUCAAACAGGAUUAGAUACCCUGGUAGUCCACACGGUAAACGAUGAAUACUCGCUGUUUGCGAUAUACUGCAAGCGGCCAAGCGAAAGCGUUAAGUAUUCCACCUGGGGAGUACGCCGGCAACGGUGAAACUCAAAGGAAUUGACGGGGGCCCGCACAAGCGGAGGAACAUGUGGUUUAAUUCGAUGAUACGCGAGGAACCUUACCCGGGCUUAAAUUGCAGAUGAAUUACGGUGAAAGCCGUAAGCCGCAAGGCAUCUGUGAAGGUGCUGCAUGGUUGUCGUCAGCUCGUGCCGUGAGGUGUCGGCCUAAGUGCCAUAACGAGCGCAACCCUUGUUGUCAGUUACUAACAGGUUCCGCUGAGGACUCUGACAAGACUGCCAUCGUAAGAUGUGAGGAAGGUGGGGAUGACGUCAAAUCAGCACGGCCCUUACGUCCGGGGCUACACACGUGUUACAAUGGGGGGUACAGAGGGCCGCUACCACGCGAGUGGAUGCCAAUCCCAAAAACCUCUCUCAGUUCGGACUGGAGUCUGCAACCCGACUCCACGAAGCUGGAUUCGCUAGUAAUCGCGCAUCAGCCACGGCGCGGUGAAUACGUUCCCGGGCCUUGCACA